CCCAAUCCAUCUGCAGUCGAACGCUUCUUUCUCCCGAGUGCUUGCACUCAAUUGGAAAGAGGAGUGGCGGACGGGUGAGUAACACGUGGNUAACCUACCCAUCUGAGGGGGAUACACUUGGAAACAGGUGCUAAUACGGCGUAACGGGGUGG
This 152-nucleotide ribosomal RNA is filed under the name Enterococcus faecalis. RNAcentral describes it as "partial 16S ribosomal RNA". The record is from RNAcentral. Lineage: Bacteria; Bacillati; Bacillota; Bacilli; Lactobacillales; Enterococcaceae.